UACAGAGGGUGCAAGCGUUGCUCGGAAUCAUUGGGCGUAAAGGGCAGGUAGGUGGUCUGAUUUGUCUGGAGGUGAAAGCCUUGGGCUUAACCCAAGAAGUGCCCCGGAAACGGUCAGACUUUGAGUCUUGGAGAGGGUUGCGGAAUUCCCGGUGUAGCGGUGAAAUGCGUGAGAUAUGCGGAGGAACACCGAUGGCGAAGGCAAUCCCCUGGGCCUGCACUGACGCUCGAUGCACGAAAGCGUGGGGAGCAAACAGG
RNAcentral lists this ribosomal RNA (257 nucleotides) under uncultured bacterium. Its description in RNAcentral is "partial 16S ribosomal RNA". It matches the Rfam family "Bacterial small subunit ribosomal RNA", at positions 524 to 776 of the family's 1533-position model. The record is from RNAcentral.